This 23-nucleotide non-coding RNA is filed under the name Arabidopsis thaliana (thale cress). The record is from RNAcentral. Lineage: Eukaryota; Viridiplantae; Streptophyta; Magnoliopsida; Brassicales; Brassicaceae.
GGGAUUACGGGAUUCGGCCCAGA